AUAGCCCAGAUACAGUCGAGUUACUAGCGGGCCUGUGGGCAUUUCCAUUAGUAAUGGAGCUAUCCGUGAACACUAACAAACCUUUCCUAGAAAAAUCAAAGUUGGCUGAACAAUCUGAGGGUAUAUGGUUGAGCUGCUCCUUCAGUUG
This is a long non-coding RNA of Cebus imitator (Panamanian white-faced capuchin), 148 nucleotides long. RefSeq lists it as uncharacterized. NCBI's taxonomy places the organism in Eukaryota, Metazoa, Chordata, Mammalia, Primates, Cebidae. The record is from RefSeq and is a predicted model, not a curated record. The transcript has 3 exons.